Molecule: non-coding RNA, 172 nt
Filed under: Collimonas sp. OK607
Lineage: Bacteria; Pseudomonadati; Pseudomonadota; Betaproteobacteria; Burkholderiales; Oxalobacteraceae
Source: RNAcentral
GGAAGGGUGACUGACCGUGGAAAGGAAGCGUGGAGCGAAACCGUGAGCCGAUGAACAAGAACCGGAUAGAAGGCGUUGCCGAUCAGGGCGAGCGGGCCAUAAACCGCGAAGCUCUUGUGGUCAAAGGAGAGGCAACGUAGAUCCGGCGGUUGUGCGGUGAAGGAGUGCGCUC